This 254-nucleotide ribosomal RNA is filed under the name uncultured bacterium. RNAcentral describes it as "partial 16S ribosomal RNA". It matches the Rfam family "Bacterial small subunit ribosomal RNA", at positions 524 to 776 of the family's 1533-position model. The record is from RNAcentral.
UACGUAGGCAGCGAGCGUUGUUCGGAGUUACUGGGCGUAAAGGGUGUGUAGGCGGUUAUUUAAGUUUGGUGUGAAAUCUCCCGGCUCAACCGGGAGGGUGCGCCGAAUACUGAAUGACUUGGAGUGCGGGAGAGGUGAGUGGAAUUCCUGGUGUAGCGGUGAAAUGCGUAGAUAUCAGGAGGAACACCGGUGGUGUAGACGGCUCUCUGGAACGCAACUGACGCUGAGACGCGAAAGCGUGGGGAGCAAACAGG